This 468-nucleotide ribosomal RNA is filed under the name uncultured bacterium. RNAcentral's name for it is "partial 16S ribosomal RNA". It matches the Rfam family "Bacterial small subunit ribosomal RNA", at positions 28 to 507 of the family's 1533-position model. The record is from RNAcentral.
GACGAACGCUGGCGGCGUGCUUAAUACAUGCAAGUCGAACGGAAAGACGCUGCUCUUGUUUGGUGCUCGAGUGGCGAACGGGUGAGUAACACGUGAGUAACCUCUCCUUAUCUUUGUGAUAACUUCUGGGAACUGGGGCGAAUACCGGAUAUGAUAUCCUGCUGCAUGGUGGUGGAUGGAGAGUGUCGGCGGUGGUGGAUGUUCUCGAGGGUUAUCCGCUGGUUGGUCGGGUAGUUGCUUACCAGGCCUAUGACGGGUAGGCGGCCUGAGCGGGUUACCGGGCACAUGGGGACUGAGGUAGGGACCAGACUCGUACGGGCGGCAGUAGUCGGAAAUAUUGCGCAGUGGGCGGACGCCUGAGGCAGAAACGUCGGGUGCGGGAUGACGGCCUAUGGGGUGUAAACCGAUUUGGAAUGAGACGAAGCGUGAGUGACGGUAAUUAGUAAGGAAGCAACGGCUAACUACGUG